UGAAUUUGCAAUGUUCUGGAUAGAAAGUUCUGCUCCCCUCUCACCACUCUCCACUCUCUACAAAGAUAAAAGUUAGGGGGUGUGGUUAAUUUUUGUGAAAGCCUGUCAGAAUACAGGACAGCACUGAGAACUUGUGGAGAUUCCCUGACAGCAGAUUCUGGGGAGAAGAAAUCCUCCUUGGAAGGUCCAGGCCAUCCCUGCCAGGCUUGUUGGAGAGCUACAGCCCCGAGCCUGGGAGGGCAGUUACUAAUCAGUCAGUCACGGCAGCAUCAAGCAAGCAGAGAAGGAAGGGAAUAAAAUGCACUGGAUGAAAAUAACAAGACUCUCACAGAUGAGAAGCCAGACAUCAAAGGACUAGCCAAGAGCCUGGUUGUAUUGUAGAACCCAAGAACCAGGCAGAACUCAUCAUUCACAAUAGACAAGUUGUUGAGGCAACCCAAGUGCCCAUUGACAGAAGAAUGGAUAAAGAAGAUGUGGCAUAUAUACAAUGGCAUAUUACUCAGUCACAAAAAAAGACAAAAUCGUGCCAUUUGCAACAACAUGGAUGGAACUUGAGGGUAUUAUGUUAAGUGAGUCACUACUAAGUACCUGAAUAUGGAAGAAGUGAGAAAGAAAGAGGAAAAGGAGAAGAGGGGAAAAUAAGAUGCUGUCAGAUACGGGCAGGAGAAAUCCUUUAGAGCGCUUUGUGACCACCCAGAAGUAGAAGAAUAAAACUAACGCUAUUAAAAAGCAAUGGAAUCCCUGCCUACUGCUGUUUCUCUGCCUCACAAACCUUUUUUCCCCUUUAAAUGCAACAAUAUAUUAACACUCUGUCAGUUGAAGAGUGCUUUAUAAAUGGUAGAUGCUGUUUCUUGCUUAAACAACUGCUCUGAGUGCCUGAUAGAGCUAUAGGCACACCUGUUUAAAGCUCUGCAAG
RNAcentral lists this long non-coding RNA (916 nucleotides) under Equus asinus (donkey). RNAcentral describes it as "lncRNA (ENSEASG00005023891.1)". Lineage: Eukaryota; Metazoa; Chordata; Mammalia; Perissodactyla; Equidae. The record is from RNAcentral.